This 74-nucleotide transfer RNA is filed under the name Cnemaspis flavigaster. RNAcentral's name for it is "tRNA-Asn". Lineage: Eukaryota; Metazoa; Chordata; Lepidosauria; Squamata; Gekkonidae. The record is from RNAcentral.
UAGGCCGAAGUCCGCUGGAUUAGACGUUUAGUUGUUAAUUAAUAUUUUACGGGUUCGAGGCCCGUCGAGCCUAG